UUUUCUGAUUUUUUCUUAUGUUUAUGAUUUAAUGUUAUACUGCCUUAAACUAUAAGUUCCAUUGGUCAGGAAUAGGGAAUUCCUAUAUUUAAAUACUCUCAUGAUGUGGUCAGUAAUCCUAACUCUUACUUGCCAGAUACUGUACUUUUUUGUAGACAAGUAGCUUAUCAUUUUUUAAAUAAGUGGAUAAGCUGGACCUUAUUAUCCACUUAAUAAUAUGAUCCUAUUAUUCCUCUAAGUAGGAGAAGGUGAAAGUACAAACCAUUAAGUGGUGAUAAUUUCUAAAAGAGCCUACAGAAUUGUCUCAUAGAUGUACUUAUACCCAGAAGAUCCUUCUAUGUGCAUGUUGGUGGUACUAUAAAGGAAUGGCUCAUGCUAUAGGAAGAUGGAAUGAGGGAGGAAGGGAGGGAGGGGAGGAGGGAAGGAGGGAAGAUAAAUCUUUCACAAGAACAAAUAAUGAUAAGUUAAUUCCCAGACACAAAAAUAAAAUGUCAGAUGUGGGAGAUUUCUACUUGAUCAUAUAUUAGCAAAGUUCUUCCACUGUGAUCUUUGAAAAACACAAAUAUGACUCUGUUAUAUAUCUCCUUAAACUGCUUCAGUAGCUCCCCAACAUAUAAUGAAAGUAUUUCUAGUUUGAACUUAUGAAUUCUUACAAGUUUCAUGGCAUUUUUGGGAUUCUGUGUAACAUUAAAAACACUAUUAUGGUAGAUUAUUUUUCUCCCUAUCCUCAUAUCCCUAUGAGAGAAUUUUUUGCCUUCCUCUGGGGUUCUUGGUUCAUAUAUAAGUAUGAAGAAGAAAACUUUUAGUAUUUGGUGGGUGAGCAAAUAGGCAGAGAUUAACAACAUUGUAACCCUAGGGUUGUAGAUUUUUUUUUUUAAUUGAGAUAUAAUGGACAAAUAAAACUGUGUAGAUUCAAGGUAUGCAAUGUGUUGGUUUGAUACACUUCCAUAUUACAAUAUGAUUACUAUAGUAGUGUUAGCUAAUACUUUUAUCAUGUUACAUAAUUAUCAUUUGUGUUUUGAGAACAAUUAAGAUCUAGUCUCUUAGCAACUUUGAGGUUUAUAAUGCAGUAUUGUUGACUAUAAUCACUAUGUCGUAAAGAGAUCUCUAGCGCUUACUUAUUUACUAGUUGCAAGUUUACAGGGUUGUGUUUUAAAAGGAUGUUAGUAUUAGCAGGAGGAAGGUUUGUUUAUUAAGGUAAACAAGUGAAACAACUGAGUAAAGACAGGACAUAAAGGCCUCCUAAUAUUUUCCCAAUUCCAUCAAGGCAAAUAUGAUUAAGUGCUGAGAACUGAGAUCAUGCAGUGUGGGCAGAAUGGACUGACCAAGAGAGAGAAGGACAAGGAAGAAUACAAAAUAAGUACAGUGUUGGGUUCUGUAUGGACAAAUAGGAGACUAUAUAUCUUUUUUUUUUUUUUUUUCAGUGUAUUGUUUAGGAUACUGUUGGAUACAACCAAUCAAAAUCUAAUUCAGUUUCAUUUAACCACAUAAGAGACUUAAUGGCUACCAUGAAAAGGGCCCAUUGGUGGGUGGGCAUCAGGAAUGUAUUGAUUCUGUGGCUCAAAAGUAUCAGUAAAAGCUGUGUUUCUUUCAACCUCCUCAUUUUGCCUCCCAUGGUACUAGCUUAAUUCUAAAGCCUGGCUCCCCAUCACGGUCACAGUAUAUGCCUGGCAUUUACCCCUGGAGAUACUAUGUCCUUAACCAUAAAUGAAAAGAGAGAAAUUGUGCAAUUUGCUUCUGGAAGCCCUCCCAGAAAAACAAGGAUGCUUAUUUCCCAGAAGCCUUCAGCAAACCUUUUCAGUAAAUCACUUGGUCAAACAUGUCUCAUGCCCUCCCCUGAAUCAAUAACUGUGGCUAAAGGGUAGGAUUUUGAUUUUUAUCUUAAGGUGGAGCCACAUGUCUUACCCCUAGAUCCUAAAGAUUCAGUGACUUUCUCUCAAAGUAUUUUUAUGUUAUAUGGAGGAGUUGGAGCUAUUGGAAUGAAAACUGAGCAACUCUCCCAGAACAAAGAAACAAAUAAAAACCAAUUGGUAUUGAAGAACUAGUCACCACACCCAUUACUAUUUCUUCCUGUUGAGAUUCCAUGUGCUUGUCUAAUAGACUAAUUUGUUUUUCAUGGCUGUAGACUCUACUUCCCACUUUUCCAGUGCUAAGGAUAUUUUAUAGAAAAUGUGUGUGUGUGUUUCCCCAAAGAGAGGGUGCCUAACAUCCACUGAAAUUUGAAAUAAACUUACAAUUCCAAAAUAUCAAGAAUCACUAAAAUUUACAUGAAGUCCCUAGAUAAGGUGGUUAUUUCUUCUCUUGUAGUGUCUCCUCAACUUAUUUCUGUACCUCCAAAACAAAAAGAAUUCCAAACUUUUCCUUGGCCUUAAAGGUGGGCCAUUUCGUGGCUUCAGGUUCUGUAAACACGUCAUUUCCUCUUCCACCUCUUCUGGCUGGUAAACCUUCACUCUGUCUUCAAGACUAACUUCAAGGGACGUCCGGUGGCUCCGUGGUUGAGCAUCUGCCUUUGGUUCAGGUUGUGAUCCCGGGGUCUUGGGAUUGAGUCCUAUGUUGGGCUCCCCAUGGGGGGCCUGCUUCUCCCUCUGCCUUUCUUGUCUCUCAUGAAUAAAUAAA
This 2616-nucleotide long non-coding RNA is filed under the name Canis lupus familiaris (dog). RNAcentral describes it as "lncRNA (ENSCAFG00000055774.1)". Lineage: Eukaryota; Metazoa; Chordata; Mammalia; Carnivora; Canidae. The record is from RNAcentral.